AUGAACGCUGGCGGCGUGCCUAAUACAUGCAAGUCGAGCGAACGGACGAGAAGCUUGCUUCUCUGAUGUUAGCGGCGGACGGGUGAGUAACACGUGGCUAACCUACCUAUAAGACUGGGAUAACUUCGGGAAACCGUAGCUAAUACCGGAUAAUAUUUUGAACCGCAUGGUUCAAAAGUGAAAGACGGUCUUGCUGUCACUUAUAGAUGGAUCCGCGCUGCAUUAGCUAGUUGGUAAGGUAACGGCUUACCAAGGCAACGAUGCAUAGCCGACCUGAGAGGGUGAUCGGCCACACUGGAACUGAGACACGGUCCAGACUCCUACGGGAGGCAGCAGUAGGGAAUCUUCCGCAAUGGGCGAAAGCCUGACGGAGCAACGCCGCGUGAGUGAUGAAGGUCUUCGGAUCGUAAAACUCUGUUAUUAGGGAAGAACAUAUGUGUAAGUAACUGUGCACAUCUUGACGGUACCUAAUCAGAAAGCCACGGCUAACUACGUG
RNAcentral lists this ribosomal RNA (496 nucleotides) under uncultured bacterium. RNAcentral describes it as "partial 16S ribosomal RNA". It matches the Rfam family "Bacterial small subunit ribosomal RNA", at positions 29 to 507 of the family's 1533-position model. The record is from RNAcentral.